Marmota monax (woodchuck) is the source of this 7047-nucleotide long non-coding RNA. RefSeq lists it as uncharacterized. Lineage: Eukaryota; Metazoa; Chordata; Mammalia; Rodentia; Sciuridae. The record is from RefSeq and is a predicted model, not a curated record. The transcript has 5 exons.
UGUAGGAUAUGUUAGCUUAUAAAAUUGCAAAAAUCAGUAUGGGACUGAGAUACAGCUGAGGAAAAAUGGAUAUCAUCUAGAAAUUCUUGGAUUGCUUCUGGGUACACCAAUUUUCUUUUUUAAAUUUUUAGUUGUAGAUGGACAUAAUACCUUUAUUUUCUUUCUUUAUUUUUAGGUGGUGCUGAGAAUCAAAUCCAGUGCCUCACACAUGCUUGGAAAGUGCUCUACUACUGAGCCACAACCCCAGCCCCUGUGUUCACCAACUCUUGAGACUGGUUUUACUAAGGGAGUGAGUGUCAAUUACUUGCACAUGCCUGCUGAUCUUGGAUAGGAAGAUGCAGCCAUUCCUUCUUCUGGAGAGCCUCUGAAGCUCAGAGAAGAGUUGUGUGUGGCAAACAAUAGUCCCACACAGUGUGCCCUCAUUCCUCCUAAAAAAAUCCACUUGCAUUUAUUGUACUGACAAAGUUUCAGCUUUAUUCUGGGACUCUUCCUCCCUCAGAGUUGAAUGUAAGUACCUGGCUGCCAGGUGUUUUGUAAGCUGGGCUGCGAGAGGGAAAUGUAGGGAGAUGGUUCUGUAACACAGACUGAGUUGGUGACCCUGCUGCACCCUCAUUUCUCACACUUGCCCUCUGUGUUUUUUCCUUUCUUCCCAGUCUCCUCUGCUCAGCUCCUCCUUCACGUUCCUCCAUCUGCUUUGUGUGUUACAAGACACUGAAAUCCUAAAUAAUCUGAUGUGUCUCUCUUGGAUUCUCUGUAGACAGAAGAGAUAAACCUGAGAGUGGAGUCACUUUAGACUUAGAAGCCCUAGGUCGUUUGGUUUUUUUAAAAUGGCUCUUUAAUGUGCUCAAAAGUACACAGCCAGCCAUGACAUAUGACAGCUUCUCUAGACCAUGCAGGCCCCAUGUUCUAUAAUUCUCUUUCUCAUUUGGUCCAACACAACCCUGGGGCCACUAGGGAGGCUGGAGUGAACUCCACUGGCUAGAGAGCUCUUGAUCAGAAUGACAAGAAGACAUCUCUACUGCUUGUCAGAGAACUGAUGGAGAGGUAUUCCAGGUUAGGGCUUGGAGGAGGAAGCAGGUGAGUAGGAUAUAGGAACAGCAGUCUACUCAACUGUUGCUGAGAGCCUGUGUUGGUAGUGUGAGGACACCAUAGAUGAGCUGAGCGAUCACCAGUGUGGGACUCAAGGAGUGUAUCAGGUGAUAGAAGACAUUAGGUCUGUGAGAAACUUAAGCAAAAAUCCUGCUGAUGAGGGGAAGCUUGAGGCAGAAAAUAAUGUCGUCAGCAGUGUCAGUGGCACCCACAGAGGACAGUGACAGAUUGCACAGGCCCUCUCUCACAUUUCUGGACUCAUGGAGGCAACAAGCAAUGUGGAUGCGUGAAAGCCACAGCUUGCCCAUUAGUUUUGACUUCCUUUCUCAAAGACUUUCUGCUGGAGCUUGCACACUGGGCAUGUCACCUCUUUGUCCUUCCCUUCCCAGCGUGCUGUAAGAGACUGGUAGGGCUGUAGAAGCACAUCCCUGGAGAGAGACCCCCAAGUUGUGUCAUUGGCUUUUUCACAUCAGGGACAGAGACCAGGCUGCUUCCCCCAGUUCAGUUCCAUUCUUGAUGUAAUGUCCCCUCACUGCCUCCUCUGCAGCCCAGGUGGGUCACUCAGCAGUAACAUACAGGGCUCUUAGGAAGUGCGGCAGCCCUGCUGGCCCUCUGCGUGCUGAGCAGCCCUUUCCCAUAGGCCUCUGGCUGUGCCUCGAGAAGGCAGCUGGACUUGACCCCACUGAGCAGAGGAAUCCUAUCUGCCUAGCAGGUUUACACAGUUGCUUUUUUCAUUAUUUCCUCUGGGCUCCUCCUUUGAGAAGAUUUAAAACAGGUGCUUUCCCCCCUCCUUCUUGACUCCUGGCAGCCACCAACACCAUUGAGAAUCUGUCUCUUGGAAUUCCCGAGGCCUAUUUGUGAUGCCCUCAACUGUGGCUGAAUUUUCUGCUUUCUCAGGGUCCUGUCUCUCUGUCUGUGUGUCUCUCUGUCUCUACCAUAUAUUUGGUCAGCUGUCCCCAAAUUCUCACGGCCCUCUGGGGUUAAGACAGUAGCCUGUCAUAUCCAUUCUGUGCUCAGCGACAGAAUGGGAAUUUUAUUCCCUCAAAUAGCGCACAAAAAGCUUUCAAAGUCCCCUGAAUAAAAAUACCCCAUUACCACUUCCUUUGGACCAGAGGAGCUGUUUCUACCCUGAGGCCCCUCUUCCUUUAGGGCAAGCCCCAUAGCAGACAGGCAAUCACUCAUUUAUGAAAAUGAAAGAUUCAUGAGGGACGGUGCUGGGCUGCCAGCAGAGUUUAGGCAGGUUCUGAUCCUGCUUUAAUUUAAUUAAGCCCUGUUUAUUUAAUCAGCCCAGAGAUAUGUAUCCUCAGGCAGGAAUUUGCUGCCUGUUUCUGAGCUGUGCUUUUGUCUGUGGGAGGAUGAAAGCGGCGAUCUGCCUGGUAGUUUUUAAGGGUUUGGGGCCCAAGAGACAGCCUGGUGGUCUGGAGUCAGGCCAGGCACUAUGGGGACAGUGUAUUCAGCAGCUGUGCCUGUGUAUGUGUGUGUGUGUGUGCAGGUGUGAAGUGUGCACAUGCGUGUGUGUGUGUGUGUGUGUGUGUGCAUGCAGACUCCUGAUGCUCAGAGCCCUAGAGUCUGGUUCUUGGUCAGGACUAUCAGAGAAGCCUGAUUUGCCACCAGUCUGCAUUCUUAGCCACCAUGAGAGGAAAGAAUUAGGGAAACAAGGUCACAGUGUUGCUUAAGGACAGUGUUGCUCAGAGUACGCUCCAGCAAUCCUGUGGGUGUCAGUGAAGCACACUGAUGCCCAGGUCUCACACCCAGAUUUGCUGAAUCACAGUCAAGUUUAAGAACCACUGCAUUCUCAAGUGUUGUUAGCUGCAGCAGAAUCUACAUUUUCAGGAUGGAGGUGGGGCAGGCAGAGGACAAUGAUGGAAAUCCACCUGGGGGAAACAUUAUGGGGGGAAUCAUUAUGGUGGGAACACAUUCGGACAGAGAGGUGUUUUCUGGAGCCUCCAGAAUCCCUCCAUUUAGAGGAUAGCCUCUAUCUUCCAUGUCCAAGGGCAGAUCUCAGGGGAACAGCUAUGGUGUGGUGGUAGUAGCUGCCUAAGCCCUGCACCUGGAUCUGCACAGUGCUCGGCGUGAGCUGCCCAUCAGGGCCAUUGACAGUAAGGCAGAGCCAGGAUCCAGGCCAGACUGUCAUAGGUGACUGGAGAAAACUGAUGUUAGAGAACUUUCAAAGGAGGAAUGCCAGGAUUUGUUGACCUUUUAAAGAAAAUGGGAAUGAAAAGAAUGAGAAGAGAAAGGAACCCCAAGUUCAGGGGCAAAAAAAUACAUUUGGCUCUAAUAAUGUGGGAAUCAGUUUUGGAGGGUCACUCCUUUUCUGAGCUCUCCCAAUUCCUCUGCUUUUUCAGCCUCUGUCAUCUCUUCUUAAGAGAGCACAUCUGUUCAUGUCAUUUUAAAAAACAGAGUCCUGUUUGUGCAAUUGAUUGGCUCUCAUCUUUUGAGGAGGGCAGCUCUGCUUGUUUCUAAAGACCUGGUCAGCUGCACUUUGAGAAUUCACCAUAAUAUCAAAACAAUCUUGUUGCAAACCAAAUCACAAGCUCUGCAGCCAGGUCUUCUUCUGUUCUGUGGUCUAUGAACUGGUAGGGAGGAGAAGGACCAGGGAAGAACAGGGGACUUAAGGGACAACCGGAGGCAAUUUCUAGGGUCCAGGGAAAGAGCCCUGAGGAGCCGUGAUAGAUCUAGACCUCCUUCUCUCAUCAUGGAAGGUCUAUGUUCGAAGUGAGUGAGGAUACACAUCUCAUGUGUAUAUGUUUGUGUGUUAGGAAUGAACCAGAAACUCUUUCCCAGAGUGAAUCAUGCUUAAAUAAUAUUUAAGAGACCCUGUUUUUGACUAUCAUCAGUUGGCAGUUGUGGCCGUCAGCCUCCAAGAUGAUCACCAAAUCCUGGCCUCCUGGUAUUCAUACUUUUGUAUAGUUACUUUCCCUAGUGAACAGGGCUGACCUCUGUUACCAAGUGGAUAUUGCAGGAAGAGUUGUGUAUGACCUGCGAGCCCAGCUCAUGAGAGGCAUGGACUUCCCCCUUGUUUCUGGGUUGGCUCCUUCUGGGAGAAGCCUUGGGAGGAGAAGUCAUAAGCACAGUCAACCAGUACCAUGGAGAGGUCCACGUGAGGAGAAGCUGAGGCCUCCCUCCAACAGCCAAGUGAAUGGUGAACCAUUUUGGAAGUGGGUCCUCCAGCCCCUGCAAAGCCUUCAGAUGACUGAAGGCCAGGCUAACCCCUUGACACAGUAUCAUAAAGACCUUAAAGAAGAACCAUCAGCUCAGAAUGCUCCUGUAUUCAUGACCUACAGAAACUAUGAGGUCUGAGAAGGAUCAGAUAAGCAGUCAAAUAGGAGUCAUCCGUUGAUCCAGAAGGCGAGUAUCCCUUCUCCUUUUCUUGUUUUGCUGAAUAACUUUCAUAUUAGUGGAGAGGAAUAGUAGAGAGAAUACUGAAAUCCACUUUAAAUUAAAAAAAAAUCUUUUUAAAAAUUGACAAAUAAUAAUUAUACAUAUUUAUGGGAUAUGUGUCAUGUUUUUCCUGGCUUAAUUUCUUUUUUUGACAAAAAUCAAAUCGUCUUACAUUUAACACUUUCACUUAUGUUUGCUCUCUAAUUCCUUCCCUAAACAUUAUUGUUUUAGUUGGCUUUGUGUUGCUGUGACCAGUGUACCCGACAAGAACAGUUAAGCAGAGGAAGAGUUUCUUUUGGCUCAAGGUUUCAGAGGUUCAAUCCACGGUCGGCCAACUCCAUAACUCUGGGUCUAAGCAUGAAAGGGAAGAAACUGAGCACUGUGGUGGUGACCCAGAGAGGGACCAGAUGCUAUCCGAUAUCCCAGGUGAUUAGAUCGAUUUUAGGAGAUUCCCUUUUGUCAGAGGUCCUGCGGCUUGCUCUGCAGUAGUGCAAGUUGUACCCAAUGGAACACUUAGGUCGUUGGAUCAAAACUUUGUCCUCUGCAUCCCUUUAGAAUGUAGCUGUGGAUAUCCAUUUAAAUAGAAGCCAGUACUUUCUGAGUUUCUUUUCAUGUCAACCUGGACAUACCCAUUUUAAAAAAAAUGUGGCUGGUUAUUAAACUGUAUUUGUUUUGUGUCUCCAUCUGUGCUGUGUGCUUUCCCCGGAUAGCUCACAGAACUCUGCUUGGCACUGGGCUUUGGGGCCAUUUUGCAUGGCUCCACUUGGUCCUGGAGGAUGGAGUUGGGGAGUGUGAGUAGACAGCCUCCUUAACUCCAGUUUCCAUCACCUACACGUUAAUAUCCACCCCCACGGACCCCUUCACACCCAUCCUUCCAUUGAGCAUCUAUAUAUCAAAUAUCAUAGCAGAAUGCAGAUGGCAAGUACAAAGAGGAAAGAGACAGUGCUGCCCUUCAGAUCCUCUAAGUCGAGGGGACAGAGCAUGGAUAUUAUAGAGCAGGGCACUAGGUACCAUGAGUAAGGGAAGGGUGGGCAGAAUAGAAGCCCAGAGGACAACCCCUCACCAGGCUGAGGGUGGAGGGAAGUCUUCCGGCAGGAGAUUGCACCUGAAUCGGAUCUUGGAGAACAGAGGCGGGUCAGGAAAGCCUUUCCAAGGCGAGGGAACAGUGAGUGCAAAGAUAUAUUGGGGUGGAGAAUCUGGCAGGCUACGGGAACUGCAAUCUGUUUUAAUAUAGUCAGAGCAUAGAACACAGGAGUGGGGUGGAGGGUAGAAGGAAAUGAUGCCAAAAAGGUAGGCAGGAGCUGGAUCAUUGAGUCCUCUGAGCCAUGGUAAUGUGAGUUCAGAUCAAGUCCUCCAUAAGACAAUUGAAGGCAGAAAAGUGAUGAUGGCGUCUGCAGUCUUUGAAAGCUUCUUCCAGCUGCAGUAUGGAGGUUGGACUGAAGGAAGCAAGACUCACUGAAGGAAAUAGGAGCAGUUGGUGGCUGUUGAAGUGACCGUAGGAUACAAUGAUAGAGCCCUGAAAUUAGGUGGUGGUUGUGAAAGAGAGAGGAGAAUAAUGAAAGACACUCCCAUGGAGUAGACCUGGCAGGGGUUGGUGCUAGAUUGAAUGUGGAGGUGAAAGAGAAGGAGGAGGCUUCCAUCUGGGUGACAGGGGUGUCAUUAGUUCUUGUAUGUGACACAGGAAGGAGGACAGCUUUUCAGGAUCCCACUGAGUUCAGGUUUGCUGUCUAAAUCUUGGGUGAGAGAUCUGGGCAGAGAUGUGAGGAUGAGGGGGAGCGUGGUUGUCCAGGGAGAGUGGAAAGAGGGAGGGGAGAAGACAGUGCGCUGGCACCCUGGGGGACCCAUGCUUAUUGAGGAGCAAUGGAAGAGUAAUUAAAAAGGAACCAAGGAGGGACAGCCAGAGAAGUAGGAGGAAAACUGGAGUCCUGAAGCUGAGAAAACAGGAUUUCAAAGAGUUGCACAUUGGAAAGACAAAUAAAAUGAAUUGAGUAGUGCCCACUGGGUUUACUGAUGAAGAAGUUACUGCCUCUCUUGCAGGGGACAUUUCUCAGGGACGGUGGGUGAGGGGUGAAUGGCAUGUGAGGAAGCUGACACGGAGAGUGGAGGCAUCUCUUUAAAAAAUCUGGCUGUGAACAAGAGAUAGAGAUGACUAAAGAGGUAGAUGGGAAGGUGAGCUGUCAAGGGCUCCCAGUGAGUUCAAAUGUUGUCGCUCGUCUAUGUUUUAAGCAUCUCUUAGGCAACAAUGCUGUGCUAGGCACAGCUAUAAAGAAAUUUAAGACAUGCCUUCCAGUGUGUGCAGUUUAGUAAAUAAAACUCCAGAAAUGCAGGGCCUGACAACCAACGCUCCUGUGUUUGCUAAGAGAUGGUGGAGUAUAGUAGUAUAGAAAGUGUACAAAUUUUGGACUUCAAAUAGAUCUGGGUACAAAUCUUGGCUCUGCUCCUUUCUGACUCUGUGAACUUGGGCAAGUUAUUAAGUCUGUUUAAGCCUCAGUUUUCUUGUCUGUAAAAUGAGAAUAAUCAUGUCAACCAUUCAUAUUUCUUGAGAGGAUGUGAAAUAAAAUCUAUUAACUUUUUAAA